Molecule: long non-coding RNA, 3695 nt
Organism: Passer domesticus (house sparrow)
Lineage: Eukaryota; Metazoa; Chordata; Aves; Passeriformes; Passeridae
Exons: 3
Source: RefSeq, a predicted model, not a curated record
GCUUUGGAUUUGUAAAACAAGCAACUUCUCUGGCAGGUGCUUUGAUUUCAGAGAAUUAAAGUAAUUGCCACAAAAGGGCUGACAAACCCCACAGCUGCUGGAGUAAAAGGAGAAGGAGCUGCAUGGAUGUGCACAGCAUGCCUGGGCAGGAGAAAAGCUUUAUCAACUAGACCAGUCGUGGAUGUUCAGAAAAAGGACAAAAAGCACAGUCAGAGCUGUAGAAAACAAGAUGUGCAGAAACAUGGUUUAUUUAAUCUUCACAUAAGAGGACUGAAAUGAACUUACAAAGCAGCUGCAGAUGAGAGAAAGACAAACAGCUCUUCAUGUGCACUGAUGAUAGGACAAAGAGUAAUUGGUUUCCACCCCACUAAGAGAACUUAAGGUUGGCUACCCUAGGAGACUUCUGAAGUGAUUAAUUUUGUGCUAGGAAAUCUUGUUCAAGAAUCUGUGAAACCUCCACCACAGGAGGGUCUCAUAAACAGCUGAGGCAGGAAUGAUUUAAGUGUUCAUGAGACCAGCUGAUCCUGCCUUAGAGGAGUUGAAGAGUUGUAGGUUAAAACACGUCUGUGAAAUAUCUUCCAACAUUGUCUCCAAAUACCUCAUUUUAUUUUCUCAAAUACCUUGGAUCAGGACAGGACUCAUGGCUCGGAAUGGAUUCAAAGUUUGGGGUUGUUCAUGCCUUAGCCAAGACGUUGGGUUCCACUGCUCUCUCCACUUCACAUCCAUUUCACUUUCCAGCUCAUGCAGAGUGGGGUGAAAACCAAAAUCCAAGCAAGGCACCAGCACUGGGACCAUAACCUCACAGGCAGCCAGCCCCUGGCUGUUGAUAUCAGAGCCUUGCAGAGCUUCCUCAGCUGCUACCAUCUAAUCCCCACGGUGCUUAACCUGAAUCCUGACCCCUCUCUUUCCUGCUCAAGUGGCACCUCCUCAGGGAAAGAACUGAGUGUACAACAGUGAACCUUUCUUGGAUGCCAGGCUCAGGAAUGAUCACGGACAGAAACCCAGGGAGAGAACUGAGUGAAGAACAGUGAACCUUUCUUGGAUGCCAGGCUCAGGAAUGGUGAUGGACAGAAGCUGUUAAAGUGCAGAACAAGGCCAAAGCUUGAGGCUGCCCGGGUGCUGCCCUGUGCUGUCAGACCAGUUCCUCUGCCCUUCUGCUCACCCAAAUACCCAAGCUCAGAGCAGAAUGGACAAGCUGCCUCUCAGCUGCCUUGCAUCCCCUUGCAGGGCUGUAACUGUGCAGAAGGCAUGAAGACAGGCAGGUCAGCACCAGACCCACCUCAGAGCUCCCAGUUUGGUUUUCUGAAAGCAGAAGCAAGAGCUCCUCACCAUCUCAGGAACUACAUCAGUACCUAAACCUGGAUGUAACAACACAAAAAUGUGACAAAUGUCACAAAAAUGUGACUUCUGCCUCAAAUGAGAACUUCCAUGAAAUGGCAUCUGCUGAAGAGCUCAUGGGAAGGAAUAUUCCAUUUUCCUACCCCAAGGAAGAAGCUUGGGGAACAAGAGACCUCUUCCAAGACAAAAGAUGGAGAGGUCAUGUCACACACCAAAUAUGCAGAAAUGGAAGAGCAGAAACAUUACACCGAUCACUGCUAAUCAACAUCACCUCAUCCAGCCAAAAUGGCAGUAAAUUUGGGAGUGUCUUUGAAAAAGACUAAAUAACAGAAUUAACUUAAAAAAAGAACAAAGUCAGAGUUUUGCCAAAACCUAUUAUAUGCACUCUACAACGGGGCGUCUGUGAGCAACAAGGAGGGAAACAGUAAUAAUAAACUGGAGGAAUGGCUUUCACAGGAUAAUAAAUGAAUUGCAAAUAGCACACAUGUCAGCCACACUAAUUCUAAAAGCAAACAGUUCCAAAAACAGAAAUAAAAUGUGACUGGGACAAAUAGCUUCUUCAUACUUGGAAAAUGAGAGGCACUUCCCUGAGUAAAGAAUCAGUCUAUAAAAAAAAAUGAAACAUUUGUAUUUUGGGUGCUACUUUUUGUGCCAAGGUAAAACAAAAUCAAAAACAAAACAAAAAAAACCCCAAAUAUACAUAUAUAUAUAUCCACACAUCGAACCACCCCAAAACCCAAAGCACCUGGAAAGAUUGCUACACAGAGUGCAGGGCCUAUAAUGCCCAGUCAAAGAGAACUUCUAAAACCCACCUGAAACUGGAUAAGGAACAACUCAGAGAAUGGAUAUAGAUCUAGAAGAAAACCUUCCACAAGGAAGAAAAUUCAGACAAUUAAUUUAGUUAUUAGUCACAUUUAUUGGAAAUGCCUGGGCCAGCUGUAUGAGGCUGGAGAAGUCAUCAGGGACAAUGGAAAUGGAGAUGGACUCUGAUCCUGUAAAGGAGACAGAGGAGUUAGUACCCCCCUGUGAAGCUCUUCCUCCCAGAAGGAAAGUUUGGUAAAAUGUGGAGGCUUAAUUAUUUCAGAUCAUGAGGGUUUGAUACUCCAGAGAAAUACUGCAGUGGCUUGUAAUUCUGAAAGCUGGAAUGUAAAGAGGAUAUAUAGCUAAUCUGCUGGACAGAAAGCUGUAUUUUGUAUCCUUCUAAAGCCUUUGAGCCCUUCUGUUCAAGAAAGAAACAAGACUGAGGCAUCACAGAAAAUUAAGAGAAAAACACAGUUUUCUUUCUUGGAGGACAUAUGUGAUGUUUAGAGCUACCUUCCUGCAGCAGUAACAUUGUGCAGGCCUAUAGAAAAUAAAAGGGAUGUUCAGGUAUUUAGAAACAGCCCAGGAGCAGCCACAGGUGAAUCCACACUGUGAUAUUCCCAUCUUAUUUGAGGUGGAGCAGUGACAGCCUGCAUCUUCAGAGACCCUUUGAUAUGUCCUCAAAGAGGCUCAGCAGCAGUCUUGGAAUCACUUAGGAGUCCUAAUAGUUACAUCAAAGAACUAAAUAGGGCUAAAAAAGGAAAAUAUUCCAUAGAAAUUAUUCUGCAAAACAACACAAUGCCAUAGAGAGUCAGAACCUUUCUGUGGAAAACCUAAACAUUCUGCUUUUAGGGUGUAAUUUUGUACCGAACUUCCCUGAAGAAUUUAACCACUGGUUCAAACAAAAACAGUUUGCACUCCUUGGGUUAGUAAAUAAUGUUCUGCGUCUGCACCAGUGCUUGUGCCUGACCUCUGUAAAAUCAAUUCUUGUUUCUUUUCUUUUGGGCAAAGAGCAGUUCUGAUGGCAGUCAGUAAAGGAGAAACAAAAGUUAGAGAGUGGCUUUGUAGCAAAGAUUCAUUUAGACAAUUUGGUAUCUAUUACAAGCUGAAAUCAGGCAAUGCCUGAAUGCAAAUGUGGAGAGGGAGUGAAAGGGAACCUUGCACAGGGAGAGGGUCCUUUUCCUUCAUUAUCAUUUACAAAUUCAGUGAGUGACACAAGUGUGGGAUCUGGUGACUGGAAACACACUGGACAUGUGUGUCACGAGGCUCCAGGGCCCUGUGCUAGCACCACGUGCCACUAUCAUGUUCAGGUGCUCUCUCCAUCCAGCUGACACUGAGAAUUUAUUGCCAUUGUGCAAGGGGUCUGCAAUCUGCCAUCAGCAGGAUGUGGCUGUCUGCUGCUGCACACAAGGAAAACCUUUGUCCCUUCAUUCCUGGUCCCUUGGGCAAAACGGCUGCACUUGGGGGAAGGUAAUAAAGAUCCUCUCAGAUGCCACAGUGUCUCUGUCUGGGAAGCAAGAAAAUCAGAAAGAGGGGGAGACAGAAAAUGAUAGUGC